CUUCAUAUUUUGGGAAAAAAAAUUCUCAGUUUUAGUUAGUUGCAAGAAUAUUGAAUUUCUUUAAAAGGUAAGACAGAAGGAAAUAAUAGNUUUCAUCAUGUACCUUUAAGAUGUAGGAUUUUUUCAUAUAAUGUACCAUUAAUAACUAUUAUUUCCUUCUGUCUUACCUUUUAAAGAAAUUCAAUGCUUCAUAUUUUGGGAAAAAAAAUUCUCAGUUUUAGUUAGUUGCAAGAAUAUUGAAUUUCUUUAAAAGGUAAGACAGAAGGAAAUAAUAGUUAUUAAUGGUACAUUAUAUGAAAAAAUCCUACAUCUUAAAGGUACAUGAUGAAAAAUUGUUCCACUAGCACAGUGAUGCAGAAUAUUGCAUAAGUGAUACUAUUAAGCCAACAGAAAAUAAAAGAAAUACGACGAAAGAAUUAGCAAACAUCUCUGAAAGUAUGUAAACAAGGUGGAAGUGAAUUAUAAAUACUUGAUAGAUCAGAAGGUACGGAAAGUAAACAACAGAGAGAAAGAGAGCGAGAGAGAG
This 526-nucleotide long non-coding RNA is filed under the name Ananas comosus (pineapple). RNAcentral describes it as "long non-coding RNA (ACOM_LNC002744)". The record is from RNAcentral. Lineage: Eukaryota; Viridiplantae; Streptophyta; Magnoliopsida; Poales; Bromeliaceae.